AUGGGCGCAGCCUGAUGCAGCGACGCCGCGUGAGGGAUGGAGGCCUUCGGGUUGUAAACCUCUUUCGCCAGUGAAGCAGGCCUGCUCCUUGUGGGUGGGUUGACGGUAGCUGGAUAAGAAGCGCCGGCUAACUACGUGCCAGCAGCCGCGGUAAUACGUAGGGCGCGAGCGUUGUCCGGAAUUAUUGGGCGUAAAGAGCUCGUAGGCGGCUGGUCGCGUCUGUCGUGAAAUCCUCUGGCUUAACUGGGGGCUUGCGGUGGGUACGGGCCGGCUUGAGUGCGGUAGGGGAGACUGGAACUCCUGGUGUAGCGGUGGAAUGCGCAGAUAUCAGGAAGAACACCGGUGGCGAAGGCGGGUCUCUGGGCCGUUACUGACGCUGAGGAGCGAAAGCGUGGGGAGCGAACAGGAUUAGAUACCCUGGUAGUCCACGCCGUAAACGUUGGGCACUAGGUGUGGGGGGCCUUUUCCGGGUCUUCCGCGCCGUAGCUAACGCAUUAAGUGCCCCGCCUGGGGAGUACGGCCGCAAGGCUAAAACUCAAAGGAAUUGACGGGGGCCCGCACAAGCGGCGGAGCAUGCGGAUUAAUUCGAUGCAACGCGAAGAACCUUACCCAGGGCCUGAACAUGUGCCGGGUCGGCUCCGGAGACGGGG
This 650-nucleotide ribosomal RNA is filed under the name Actinomyces sp. oral taxon 169. RNAcentral's name for it is "bacterial SSU rRNA". It matches the Rfam family "Bacterial small subunit ribosomal RNA", at positions 371 to 1011 of the family's 1533-position model. The record is from RNAcentral. Lineage: Bacteria; Bacillati; Actinomycetota; Actinomycetes; Actinomycetales; Actinomycetaceae.